Molecule: long non-coding RNA, 387 nt
Filed under: Mytilus galloprovincialis (Mediterranean mussel)
Lineage: Eukaryota; Metazoa; Mollusca; Bivalvia; Mytilida; Mytilidae
Source: RNAcentral
CACGCAGUACAUCAAGAGAUCAAGAACCGUUUAUGUAGACCCGAUUUUUUUUUUUUUAUUAAAACGAAAUUAUUGAAAUACAUGUAUAAUAAAUGAUAUUACCAAUAUGCCAAAACCAAUCCCAAAGUAGCUAUAUGUGUCAUAUCAUAGCUUUACCAGUAAAGCUAUGGCAAUAUUUGUCCAUAUAAUCUGCACCUUUCAAAUAUAUCAGCAAACUAAAAGCAAAUAUAACUAUUUACCAUACAUUUUUAGCUGUCUUAAAUAUCUUUCUUUAUAAUAUCUUUGCAUACAUAUUCAAAGUUUCAUAUGCCCAAUAUAUUUACACAUACAUUUCUAGCUGUCUGAAAUAUCUUUCUUUAUCAUUUCUUUGCAUAUGUAUUCAAAGUU